CUCAUUCGGAUCGGAGUCUGCAACCCGACUCCGUGAAGCUGGAUUCGCUAGUAAUCGCGCAUCAGCCAUGGCGCGGUGAAUACGUUCCCGGGCCUUGUACACACCGCCCGUCAAGCCAUGGAAGCCGGGGGCGCUUGAAGUGCGUUGCCGCAAGGCGCGCCCUAGAGCGAAACCGGUGACUGGGGCUAAGUCGUAACAAGGUAUC
Molecule: ribosomal RNA, 205 nt
Filed under: uncultured bacterium
Lineage: Bacteria
Description: partial 16S ribosomal RNA
Rfam family: Bacterial small subunit ribosomal RNA
Source: RNAcentral